GUGGGUAUAGCUUAAGUGGCAGAGCACAUACUUGGCAUACACGAGGUCCUGGGUUCAAUCCCCAGUACCUCCA
RNAcentral lists this transfer RNA (73 nucleotides) under Camelus bactrianus (Bactrian camel). It matches the Rfam family "tRNA". Rfam says of the family: Transfer RNA (tRNA) molecules are approximately 80 nucleotides in length. Their secondary structure includes four short double-helical elements and three loops (D, anti-codon, and T loops). Lineage: Eukaryota; Metazoa; Chordata; Mammalia; Artiodactyla; Camelidae. RNAcentral also lists the same sequence under 2 other names. The record is from Rfam by way of RNAcentral.